AUUGAACGCUGGCGGCAUGCCUUACACAUGCAAGUCGAACGGCAGCACGGGUGCUUGCACCUGGUGGCGAGUGGCGAACGGGUGAGUAAUACAUCGGAACAUGUCCUGUAGUGGGGGAUAGCCCGGCGAAAGCCGGAUUAAUACCGCAUACGAUCUACGGAUGAAAGCGGGGGACCUUCGGGCCUCGCGCUAUAGGGUUGGCCGAUGGCUGAUUAGCUAGUUGGUGGGGUAAAGGCCUACCAAGGCGACGAUCAGUAGCUGGUCUGAGAGGACGACCAGCCACACUGGGACUGAGACACGGCCCAGACUCCUACGGGAGGCAGCAGUGGGGAAUAUUGGACAAUGGGCGAAAGCCUGAUCCAGCAAUGCCGCGUGUGUGAAGAAGGCCUUCGGGUUGUAAAGCACUUUUGUCCGGAAAGAAAUCCUUGGCCCUAAUACGGUCGGGGGAUGACGGUACCGGAAGAAUAAGCACCGGCUAACUACGUG
This 486-nucleotide ribosomal RNA is filed under the name uncultured bacterium. RNAcentral's name for it is "partial 16S ribosomal RNA". It matches the Rfam family "Bacterial small subunit ribosomal RNA", at positions 30 to 507 of the family's 1533-position model. The record is from RNAcentral.